This is a long non-coding RNA of Numida meleagris (helmeted guineafowl), 4517 nucleotides long. RefSeq lists it as uncharacterized. The record is from RefSeq and is a predicted model, not a curated record. The transcript has 2 exons. NCBI's taxonomy places the organism in Eukaryota, Metazoa, Chordata, Aves, Galliformes, Numididae.
AUAAAUAAUGGUCCUAAGCAAAGAGCCCCUUCAGCUCUCAGGAUGGCAGCAGGCUGUGAUCCUUGAUCUUCCCUGGGCUGGAACCAUUAUCUGGGAUCUCAAGAUUCACCACUGACAUCGACAAAGCAGAACCCUCUGCUGCAGACCCUGACCAUCCACUAAGAGCUGCCAAAAAAGAAUGAGAAAUAUCAGGCGUUCCAGAGAGUCAAGAAAGAUGGAGAUUAUCGAUGGUGGGAAGUCCUGCUUGGAUGGUCUUCUAUAACAACGGAGGCACUGAACAUAAUGCUGCAUCUCAUUGUGAUUUUACUACUUCUGGUGAUAUUUUGUUUGUUGUUAACUCUUGCUUUACACAUCAAGGUCUGGAGAAUGGCUAGACAAGUUGUGCUGCUGAAAGGACUCCCCUGAGUGUACUACAUUCCCUAAAUUUUCAAUUCAUAUGAUUGGUCAUGUAAAAAUAAAUAAAUAAGCAUUGUACAUUUAUAAGCAUAAAGACAUGAGGUGAUCACACCAUCACCCUGAUGGAGAAAAAGACUGGCUUUAGUUAUGGGGUGACCUGUGGUGGUGCAGAACACCUGCAGUCUCCGAGUAAGCCUCUACAGUGUUUUUGCCUUUGUGCAAGUGCAGUGAGCUGGGACGUUCAGGCACUCCCUAAUCAUACCUGCAAUUCUUGCUCCUUGAAUCAUGGCCUGAUCUGAGAGGAGCCAAGACUGUACUGUCUGGGAGUACGGGAACUGUAUGGCUGGGAGAAAUUUCCAAAAUUGCCUCAGCUGGAUUGUGGCCUGAAGGAAAAGUUUUCUGACUAACAUCAGUUAUCUGCAGUCCUAUAAAUAAUGUUACUAAUCAAAGAGCCCCUUUGAGCUCUCAGGUUGGCAGCAGGCUGUGAUCCUUGAUCUCCCCUGGGCUGAGACACCUCUCAGGGUAGGCAUUUCGAGAUUCACCUCUGAUAGACACCAAUGAAAGAGAGCCCUCUUAGGGGCAGAUCCCAAUUGUUCACUGAGAGCUGGUAAAUGGAAAGAGUGAGUAGGUCAGUGGGGGGAAGAAAGUCCUCAAAUAAGUAGCUGAGUUGAAAAAUGUCCUCUCCAAUACCCUACAAUAAGUCUCAUGUGAACCUUGCCAUUCCCAAAUCUUUUACUAAGUCAUUGUAUUUGAUUGUAGUAAAUUCAAUUGGAUUACUCUGUUAAAUUGGCUGAUAAUUAAGUGCUGAUUAAGUGCCACAAAGAAUCAUACAAUCUAAUCUUGUGAUUUAUCAUAGAAAUAUUAAUAAAUCCCAAAUUGCUCCUAAACCAGAGUUGAUGAAAAAUCUAUUCACAACGAGUUUGAAUGCAAUCUACUUAGGGCUUCAUGUUAGCAUUUCCAGUUUUGGUUCCCAUGCUAUUAUUCAGGUCAACAACAUAUUUCUAAAAUCUCUAAUGAAACAAAAAAGGGAGAAUGAACAGCAUUCCUUGAUCCAGCAAUAAAACUACCCCAUGCACAGCAACUUUCUGAAUCUCUGUCCAAAUAUUCACAGUUUGUUCCCAGUACCUCUUAGAGGUAUUCAUUCAUUUUCCACAUCCACUUGCACUCAGAGUAAGUACAUCUUGAUUCUCUAAAGAAUUUGUGUUCUUGUUAUUAUUUUUUAACUGAUUACACCGAACUACAAUCUUUGAAAUUUGCAGGCAAAGAUGACAAAAGAUGAAUGUUAUGGCUGAACUCCAGAGGGUUUCAAGUACGUUUCUAAUACGUUUAACUCAGUAAAGGUAUUUUUUCUCAGUGGCUGGCUUACUCAAACUGAGAAGAGCUUUUUCUGCUAUCUUCUUGUUUGUCAAAUAUAUAUAAACUCAAGAGCCCUGUAGCACAAUAUUUGAGCUUUUUCCCUGCACUGAAUUCAGAAGCAACAGCUGAUUGAGAAAAAUCAGCAGAAUUGCUAUAGCAGAAAAAAAAACUUACGAAAUCUGUAAGCAAACAACCACAUCCCUUCACCCCAAAUAGUAACCUGAAACAGAUACAUAACUGUGUCAAAGAAGAAAAACACCUCGUUUAAAUUACGUCUUUAAAACACAUGACAAGAUCCUAAGAGCUUAGCACGCCUAAAAUAUGCCAGAACUGCAUUUGUACAUAUAUUCCUUUAAAAAUCCGCUUACCUCUCCCACAACUUCAAUGAUGUCACCAACUUUUAAUUCCAGUUCAUCCUCAUUUUGAGGCAAAUAACUGUAAGCCACCUGACAUCUUCUUCGUCUGUUCCUCUCUCCUAGUGAAAAUUAAGGAAAUGAGAAAAUCGUAAAAUGAAAGCAAAAUUUCAUAUCAAACACAAGCCAUGCAAAUUGAUUCAAGAUGAAAAAUAAUUAUUAUAUAUCAAAAUAAUUUCAGUAUUUGCAAUACUUAAGUCUAUCCAUCUAGAAUUAGUUUAUCAAAAGAUGGUGGAGGAAAGGUUUCUGAGAUUAUUUAUUUCAACUAUUUUUAUAAUCUGAUUCAAUUAAAAAUGCCUCAUCCGAGUGAAAAUAAAUUGUGGUAACUUUUUUUUCCCUUCUGUGAUAUUACUCAACAGUCAAAAUUUAACCAAUAGAUAGAUAAUUCCUAGUGACAAGAUGAGCAAACUUCAUCCAGAGUAUCUCUUCAGGUGCAUUUGCUAAAAUGUAGAUUCUUGGCUAAUGCUCUAUACAAAUGGUGCAGGUAGCUCCAGAAACUGAGUGGGUAGGGGAAAGACUGCAGAACUUUGUGUGGCUUUUGUUCAUACAGAAACACAGUCUCAACAGAUUGCUUCAUCUUGUAUCCUUAGUUUUCCAUAAUUCUCUCACAGGUGUAAAUGUAUCCGAUGAACCUUUUUUUAAAAAAUAUAUAUUCUUUUUUCUACAUAUAUAUACAUACGUAUGCAUGUAUAUGUAUUUAUACACACAUUUUUGAACUGUAUGUUCAUGAAUUAAUAUUAUCAUAAAAUCAUAGAAUGGCUUGGAUUGGAAGGGACGUCAAAGAUGAUCUAGUUCCAACUCCCCUGCCGUGGGCAGGGUUGCCAACCACGAUAUUAGACUGCCCAGAAACCCAUCAAGCCUGGCCUUGAACAUCUCCAGGGAUGGGGCAUCCACAGCUUCUCUGGGCAGCCUGUGCCAGUGCCUCACCACCCUCUGAGUAAAGAAAACACAAGGAAAGCUCAUCCCAAGGCUCUCCUCACCCUUAGAGAAGGGUUAGUGUGGUUAAGGUAGGUCAAUAUUGAUAAUCAACCAGCCACUGGAAAUGACUUUACCAGCCAGAUUUCUCUCCAGCUUAGAUGUCCAGGCUCCCAUGAGAAAUAGGUAUGCACUUUUGGAUGGAAGGCUGCAGACAGGCUUGAAUUCAUAGCUCUGAAUGAGACCCUUGAUUUGACCCUUGUGCCAUCACAGUUUGAAGACAUAAAUGAAAAGAUCAGUUUUAUAAUAUUGUUUGCCAAAUCUACUGGCAUACACUUAAGUUACAGUUGUAUGAUUUGUAGCAGAGUGGAGACACACUGGAAAGAAUCCAACAUACAACCACGAAGAUACUGAAGGGACAGGAGCAUCUCUCCUGUGAGGAGAAGCUGUGAGAGCUGGGGCUCUUCAGCCUGGAGAAGAGGAGGCUCUAGAGGAUGUAAUGAACGUGUAUAAAUACUUGAAGGGAGGGUUCACAGAGGGUGGAUCCAGGCUUCUUUUAGUGAUGCCCAGAACAAGGACCGAGGCAAUGGGCACAAGCUGAAAGCAGGAGGUUCCCUCUGAACACCAGGCAGCACUUCUGUGCUGUGCAGGUAAUGGAGCACUGGCCCAGGCUGCCCAGAGGCUGUGCAGUCUCCUCCUUGGAGAGCUCCAAGGAGGCCAGCUAGACGUGGGCAUGGCACCCUGCUCUGGGUGUGCUGUUGGGGCAGGGGCUGGGCCUGAUGGACACAGAGGGCUCUUCCAGACUCAGCCAUGCUGUCAUUCUGUAAUUUAAGCACAUGUAUACACACAAACACAUACAUGCUCUACCCAAGUAACCGUGCUUUUCUCUUAUGCUAUUUCUCUUAACUGUUAAAUACACUCAAUUCACACCAACGUAAGUUGUAUAAACACUGCCUAAAACGGCUUUAAAUUAAAAAAAAGAAGGAUCACAUGGUUAGCGAUUACUUCCCUUUCAAUAAUUCUAGAUAAUACUACUCUAGAGAGAAUGGCUAGGAACAAGUUACAGAACUUUUUUCUAAAACCUAUUAAUUAAGCCAGGCAAAAGAUGGAGAAGGGAUGCCAUUAAAUUUGGUUAAGUGCACUAUGACAGUAUUUUUCACAGCUACAGAAAUUCUGAAUGAGUGGCAAGUUUUGAAUGAUAAAAUUAAUCAUAGAAUCAUAGAACCCUUAGAGUUGGAAGGGACCUUUAAAAGUCAUCUAGUCCAACUCCCAAUAAUAAUAGCUUAAUGCAAUAUAACCCUACUUGCUCAAACUGGCUUUUUUUCUCCGCCUACAGAUGAUUGAUCAUUCUUCACCAUCGAAACUAAAAUGGACCUAAAUUGACAACUGUACACAGCCACCUUCAGAAUAACUUAAAUAAAAUAAAUAUCUUCCAUA